This is a long non-coding RNA of Oreochromis niloticus (Nile tilapia), 3346 nucleotides long. The record is from Ensembl. Lineage: Eukaryota; Metazoa; Chordata; Actinopteri; Cichliformes; Cichlidae.
UUGGCCUUUAUUGUUAGUGCCCAAGGUCAAAGUUGACCUUAAAUAAAAUUUCAAGGAUGCAUAUCAAGUAAUAUAUCAAUUUACUGUACAGUAAACUUUUAAUCUUUUUAAUAUGAUACCCUAUGACAUCAGAAUGAUGCCAUAAAAGACUGAUGUCAGGAUGUUGUAAUAAAAAAAUCAUAGCUCAUCAAAAAUCGUGUGUACCUCUCGUCCUUUGGGAGAAGAUGCACUCCCUGGAUGUUCUUGUUCAUGUCUAUAAUGGCUAAGACUGAAAAGCAUGUUGAAACAUAGUCUGUCAUGUUAAAAGAACUCUAAAUUUUACAUCCAGACUAUCACAUGACAUUGCACCAAAACAGGGCAACCACAGAAUAAAAGGUUCCACUCCACCACCCGAUCGCAACUUGCAUUUCCUUUAGUGGACAAGUUAUGCGUAGGCGAUGACAUUUGAGAGACACACCAUUCUUACUGUCUUUUAACUGCAGGUAAUCAUCAAACAUGGACAGCCUUCAUGUCAUUCUUGUCCUCCUUUUAGGAGGUCAUUGGAUUUCUGGAUCAGUGGUGGAUUUGACAGUGAGAUCAGGAGAGAACGUCACUCUGAAUUGUGACUGUGAAGUAUUACCUGAGGAAUAUGUUGUAUGGUACAGAAAUUGUACCCAUGAAAAUCAGCCUCCUCUUGUUCUGAAACUAAAAGAAGAUGCAUGGAAAAAAAUCAGUGACCGAGCAGUUUCAGUGAAUUCUCUAUUACGCUUCCACUUUAAAAAGAAUCAGUCUUCUGGAUCCUAUGAUCUGCUGAUCAUGAAUAUUUCUGAUUCUGAUGAGGGCCUCUAUUACUGUGGAACUGAAAAGGAACAGUGGGUAGAUGACGCAAGCGUUCAGGUCAGAUAUGACCACAGAUAUGCCAGUAUCGCAACAAGAAUCUUAAUCAGUUCACGUCACACGAGGCCUUGCCCUGAUUCCAGUCCUUGCCCUGACUCCAAUCCUCACUCUGACUCCAGUACUCGACCUGACUCCACUCGUCGAGCUGUCUACAGUGGAACCUGUGGUUCCAGUCUCGUGCCCUGGCUGAUGAUGUUUACACCAGGAUUUUCUAUUCUCAUUUCAUUUUUUUCCUUUAUUUUUAUUUAUCAGUUCUGUCGGAAAACAGAAAAAGAACUUCAAUUUUUUCAGAACAGACUAGAUCACAACAAUCAAAGGAAACAGAAUGAGGAUGAAGAUUUGUGUUUAACACAAGUCUGGUUCCAGGCUCGAAAUGGACAUAAAAAUCUUUAGACGGAUUCAAGAUGGAGAAAACACUGUCUUCCACUGAAAAUUAUAUACAUAAUCUGUUUUAAUUAUUUGUAACUCAACAGAGUUACUCAUUAUUACAUUUUACUUUUUAGUUUUAAUUGUUCUUUAUGCUUUCCUUAAAUUGUAGUUUUGGUGACAGUUGCAUGUAAAUAACUUUAGAAGUAAAACUAACAAAGUAUCUAGAAAAAGAGUAAUGAAUUUUGAUGAUUUUGUCAGAUUUGUAUAAAUUACAGCGCUUAUUAUAGGAAACUAAAUUUUUUAAAUAAAAAAUAUCUUUUCAUACUAUUGCUCUGUUGAAUGUCUUUAGAGAGUAUACUUCCUUUGCCUUUUCUUUAAUUGUUGAUUUAGACUAAUCCUUGAAAUCAUUUAAAUUACUCUCUAAAAUUAUUGAUCAGUGUUCUUUGAUCAGUGGGUUUUGGUCAGUGAUUGUUGAUCAAUGGUCAUGGGAAUUUGCAUAAUUAUGAUUAAGGAACUGACCUCACAGCCCAUUGUUCCUUCAGUGGGCUGGUUUCAGUCAUUAUGCAAAUGUACUGUUUAUAAGGUUUGGGGGAACCUGCAGUCAGCUGAGACUGAAGAAGUCACUUGGAUGAGUGACGAAACGUUUCUCCCACAAAACGCUACGUCCAGAUGAACAGAUUCAACUUUUGGAGAGCUCUAAAAUUAUUAUCAUUAUUUUUUUAGAUUUCAAUCAGUUUUUUUGUUAUCUUUUGUGUCUGCGAACACACCACCACAAGCCUCAAUAUGCAAACACAUCUUCACUGUUGUACUUUAGAAAGAUAUUUAUGCACAAGCAUAACAUCUCAUACCAAACCGAUGUUGUCUUCUAAUAUUUUCCUUGGCCUUUAUUUGGAAAUAAAUUGGCAUGCAAACUAUAAUUACAAAACAUAUCAUAUCAAAUCAAAGCAACACAAAGCAGCUCACAGGAUUUGGAAUAUGACGAUGUCUGCGAUAUCAAAAAUACAUAAAUGGUUCAUUUGUGAGGUUGAGAGAGAGACAAAUGCAAAAGAAGUUAGAUGGAACUGAGACAGGGUGAGCACAUGGGACAGCAGUCAUACCGUGGAAGACCCAGACAAAGUGUGUCAGCAGACGCUCAUCCUGUUACCCUCUGAUAUGGGGAGAUUCUUCAAGACAGUAGAGGGGGUGAAACAGCAGUCUGCAACAUAUUUUCUUCACGGGGUUGGAUGUCCCGCUACCCACCCCUGGAUUAACAGAGAGUUGUGGGACUCUCUUUUCCAACACCCUGGCAUAGACUUUCCUGGGGAGGCUGAUGAGUGUGAUCCACUCAUAGUUGGAGCACGCAAUUCAGUCCCCUUUCUUAAAGACAGGAACCACCACCUGGUCUGCUAAUCCAGCAGUACUGUCCCUGAUUUUCAUGAGACAUUGAAAAGGUAUGUCAACCAAGACAAGGAUAGGGUGAGAAGUUUGGCCAUUGGGGUGGGGCGAGUAGAGCCGCUAUUUCCCCCCAUUGAAAAGAAGCCCGUUAAUUUUAUGUUUGUUUGUUUUUUACAUUAAACAGCUGAACACACACGGCCCCUUUAGAUUCUAAAUCAAUCCACUUGUUUUGACACAGAAAUCUGUACUUCAUAAUAUUACACUGACUCUUAGUUGUUAUAAGAUAUCUUUUUUAAAAUUCUGUACAACUUCACACGUCGUCCCUUGCACUGUGCUGGUAAGCCAUAAGUUCACCCCUCAAUUUGUGCAUUCUUGACUGAUGGCCAGGCUCAUAAGGUACGUUACAAUAAGAAGUAAUGAAAAAUGCUUUAUUUUAUUCUAUAUGUUCUUUUCAAAUGAGCCAGAAAUGAGGAGUCUGAGGCUGAAAUAGUAAUAAAACACAAAAUGUUUCUUUUGGUAAACACUGAAACGCAACGGUUAAACCUAAAUGACAAUUCUGUUAUUAGAUGCCAGUUUUGUUCCUAUUAAUAAACUGCCAUAACUUACUCUGCAUGCAUAUGUGGGAAGUGGAUUGCUUUAAACCUAAAGCUCAGAAGUGGUUGCUGAGCAAAUCACACCCAUAUAUGACCACAGAUGCACAAAGUAUCAGUAUAGCAUAAGAAAACAG